Molecule: ribosomal RNA, 707 nt
Filed under: uncultured bacterium
Lineage: Bacteria
Description: bacterial SSU rRNA
Rfam family: Bacterial small subunit ribosomal RNA
Source: RNAcentral
AUAAGCGGCGGAAACGCCGUCUAAUACCGCGUGACAACCCGAGGGGGCAUCCCCUUGGGUUCAAAGGAGAGAUCCGGUACCGGCUGGGCAUGCGGCGCAUUAGCUAGUUGGCGGGGCAACGGCCCACCAAGGCGACGAUGCGUAGGGGUUCUGAGAGGAAGGUCCCCCACACUGGAACUGAGACACGGUCCAGACUCCUACGGGAGACAGCAGUGAGGAAUAUUGGUCAAUGGGCGCAAGCCUGAACCAGCCAAGUCGCGUGAGGGAAGACGGCCCUACGGGUUGUAAACCUCUUUUGCCGGGGAGCAAGCCUGAGCACGUGUGCCCAGGCGGAGAGUACCCGGAGAAAAAGCAUCGGCUAACUCCGUGCCAGCAGCCGCGGUAAUACGGAGGAUGCGAGCGUUAUCCGGAUUUAUUGGGUUUAAAGGGUGCGCAGGCGGGCUGUUAAGCCGGCGGUAAAAAUUCAGGGCUCAACCCUGUCGAGCCGUCGGAACUGGCAGUCUUGAGUGGGCGAGAAGUAUGCGGAAUGCGUGGUGUAGCGGUGAAAUGCAUAGAUAUCACGCAGAACGCCGAUUGCGAAGGCAGCAUACCGGCGCCCAACUGACGCUGAGGCACGGAAGCGUGGGGAUCGAACAGGAUUAGAUACCCUGGUAGUCCACGCAGUAAACGAUGAGCGCUAACUGUCCGGAGCGAGCGAGCUCUGGGUG